This 465-nucleotide ribosomal RNA is filed under the name uncultured bacterium. Its description in RNAcentral is "partial 16S ribosomal RNA". It matches the Rfam family "Bacterial small subunit ribosomal RNA", at positions 28 to 507 of the family's 1533-position model. The record is from RNAcentral.
GACGAACGCUGGCGGCGUGCUUAACACAUGCAAGUCGAACGGAAAGGCCCUGCUUGCCGGGUACUCGAGUGGCGAACGGGUGAGUAACACGUGGGUGAUCUGCCCUGCACUUCGGGAUAAGCCUGGGAAACUGGGUCUAAUACCGGAUAGGAGCCAUUUUUAGUGUGAUGGUUGGAAAGUUUUUUCGGUGUAGGAUGAGCUCGCGGCCUAUCAGCUUGUUGGUGGGGUAAUGGCCUACCAAGGCGGUGACGGGUAGCCGGCCUGAGAGGGUGGACGGCCACAUUGGGACUGAGAUACGGCCCAGACUCCUACGGGAGGCAGCAGUGGGGAAUAUUGCACAAUGGGCGCAAGCCUGAUGCAGCGACGCCGCGUGGGGGAUGACGGCCUUCGGGUUGUAAACUCCUUUCGCUAGGGACGAAGCUUUUUGUGACGGUACCUAGAUAAGAAGCACCGGCUAACUACGUG